GCAAUUUUUAGCACAUUUAAUAACUUUAUAUAACUUUAUUACUUUUCUGUUGUGUCUGUAUAUUUGAAUAUAAUAUAUUUUAUCAAUGCUACGCUUUAAAGGGAGUCCACUGAGGUUAUUUUGCAUGGUGGGACUGAAAAUAUUUUUUCCAGAUAAAUGUACCAUUUGAUGUCGAUUUAGACCAUGAUCUUUGUGCAAAAUUUCAGAUCAUUCGGGCGCUUCAUUUUUCCAGAAUAAUUAUUCAAAUUGUAAAAGAAUUACCCAAAAUGAAAAGCGUUUAAACACUUUUCACUCAAAUCGGGCUAAAAAAAGGCAUAGAAAUACGAUUUUCAAUUUAUUUCAAAGUAUUUCUUAACUAUCUUUGCAAAUAUUUCUGUUUAAAGUGCCCCAGCUCAUUUUUAAAUUCAAAUGUUAUGUUUUUACGCUUUUAAACCUCAGUGGAGUCCCUUAAAGUUUAAUACAACACAAUAAAUCAAUGUAUUCCAGAAAUGGACGACAUUUGUCGUCGAACCUACAUCUGUUGUAUCAGAGGUGGACAUUUGGAUAAUUAUAGGAAGCGUUCUUGGUGCCGUGGCUCUUCUUAUUAUUGUCAUCAUAAUUCUUUGGAAGUGUGGAUUCUUUGCUCGGAAAAAACACAAUGAGGUCCAGCAAUGGAAGCGUGCAAGUUUGUACAACCGAAAGAGUGUCAGAUUGUCAAAUACCGAAAAACAACCUUAUACUGCAAUUGAGGAAAAAGAAAGUUAAACCACUAGUUUGCAUACACAUUUAUUACAUCAGUUGAAAUAAUAGUCAUAACAUUCUACUUUCUUGAGUGGUUUUGAUCUAAUUUGGAUAAAAUCUUUGUAAAUAAGCUGUUGAUAACUUUUUUUGCAAAGAUGACUAUUUCUUGAGCAUAUGCGUUGACUGUGUCCGCUUGGUUAUAUUAUUGUGUAUGUUUGAGUAAUUAUUGGAAAAACUUUAUCAAACUUACUUUUUAGAACAAACAUCUAUCGUUUCUGAAAAUAUGUUUUGUGUAUAUGUUUGCUUGUAUCUGCGGGAUCAAAUUUUGCCAAAUGAAAGGAUUGCCAAAUAUUGUCAAAUAAUUUUUUUUCAUAUGUAACUAGUCACAGUGUUUGAUUGUAUCCCCUCGUCGGUUUACUGAGGGAUACCGAUUUGACGUUGUCCGUCCUUAUUUUUUCUGACCGGAUUUUCCUUCGUCUGCUCGUAACCGGGGCAUAACACGCUAACUUUUUCAGUUAUAAACAUUAUUAAAUUUCAUGUGGUGUUUCAGGUUAUUGAGAGGAAAUGAAUUUACCAAGAUCGUUACUCUUUUUCUUUUUGCCAUUUUUUUUAGUUAUUUCCCUUUCAAUUAUUUAAUGCGUUUUUCGGGGUAUAACUAAAGAAGAAAUUGACAUACCAACCUGAAACUUCAUUAAUGUAUAUAUAUCAUAAAAGAGAAGUGCAGUGCAUCAGAAUAAUCACUUUCAUAAGAAUUAUAUAUGAGUUUUUGCCCUUUGCCAUUCUUUAUAUCUAAAAGGAAUAAAAGGAGAUGAACAUAUCUUAUAGACGAAUCAGUUUACAAGAAUAUUUUAUAAUUGUAUAACUUUGAAUAAUUGCCUUUUGUGUUUUUAUACCGAAAGAUCUUAUUAGGCAUAAAGCUAUGUCGCAUAUAAUUACUUGAAUCUUAAUAGAUAGAUAGGUCACAUCUUAGAAAGCGCAGUUUUAAACUUUUAACGAACCACAACUAUUCGGUGUUGUAAAUGCCCUUCGUAUUCCUACGUUACUUACUUUUAGUCGAGGAUAUAGCCAAAAAGGUAUGGGAAAUAACAACUUGAAAUUUUAAAGCUGGAUUGAGCUAAUUAAAGGGAGCGCACUGUUUUAAACAUAGCUCUCUUACGUAUUUGUUAAGCUUCUGCCCUUUGUUAUUUUUACAUUUAGUUAUUGACCUUUGUAAUUUUUCACAUUUAUUCUUUCUCGGGAGCAAAUCUGAAGAGGAAUAAGAGAUUCAUAGAUUGAUUGAUCUUAUUAAAGUAAAUCCAUUUUCCAAGAACCAUUAUCCUGUAUUUUGUAUAGUUUUGGAGUUAUUGUUUUUCCUUUUACACUAGUUAUUGCACUUUUAAUGAUUUAUUUUCAUAUGCAUUUAUUUCUGAGGCAUAUUUCUUAAAUUACUACAAUUCGACAGACAAAAAUUAAUAUGAAUGAUAUUUUAGAAUUGUUAUAGUGAAGUUAAAUAAAACUAUUUUAUUAAUAGAAGCAUGCUAUUAUAUAGUAACUUCACAAUCUGCAAUUAUAGAAAAUCAAAAUUUAUAUUUAAUUUACGCUUUUUCCUUGGUCCAAUUGGAAUGAUUGAUUUGAUUAUUAGAGCAUUAAUAUUGAAAUUUCCUUUAUAUAUACGUGAAUCCUUGUUUUGAAAAUUGUAUGUAUUAAAUACAUAUUUUUUAAAGAAUGGCCAAAUGACAUUUAAAAUGUCGAAAUAAUGUAUUAAUGCGAUUUCAUUUUGAAAUGCUGUCUUUUGUACUAAAUACUGCUAAUAUUUGUAAGCUUUGUAUCAUAAUGAUGCUCUGAAGUAUAUUAAACUAAGAAGCUUCAAUCACGUGAUUGGGGUUAUCAAUUCACCAACUC
Ruditapes philippinarum (Manila clam) is the source of this 2601-nucleotide long non-coding RNA. RefSeq lists it as uncharacterized. The record is from RefSeq and is a predicted model, not a curated record. Lineage: Eukaryota; Metazoa; Mollusca; Bivalvia; Venerida; Veneridae. The transcript is spliced from 2 exons.